CGAACGGACGAAGAAGCUUGCUUCUCUGAUGUUAGCGGCGGACGGGUGAGUAACACGUGGAUAACCUACCUAUAAGACUGGGAUAACUUCGGGAAACCGGAGCUAAUACCGGAUAAUAUUUUGAACCGCAUGGUUCAAAAGUGAAAGACGGUCUUGCUGUCACUUAUAGAUGGAUCCGCGCUGCAUUAGCUAGUUGGUAAGGUAACGGCUUACCAAGGCAACGAUGCAUAGCCGACCUGAGAGGGUGAUCGGCCACACUGGAACUGAGACACGGUCCAGACUCCUACGGGAGGCAGCAGUAGGGAAUCUUCCGCAAUGGGCGAAAGCCUGACGGNAGCACGCCGCGUGAGUGAUGAANGUCUUCGGAUCGUNAAACUCUGUUAUUAGGGAAGAACAUAUGUGUAAGUAACUGUGCACAUCUUGACGGUACCUAAUCAGAAAGCCACGGCUAACUACGUGCCCAGCAGCCGCGGUAAUACGUAGGUGGGCAGCGUUAUCCGGAAUAUUUGGGCGUAAAGCGCGCGUAGGCGGUUUUUUAGUCUGAUGUGAAAGCCCACGGCUCAACCGUGGAGGGUCAUUGGAAACUGGAAAACUUGAGUGCAGAAGAGGAAAGUGGAAUUCCAUGUGUAGCGGUGAAAUGCGCAGAGAUAUGGAGGAACACCAGUGGCGAAGGCGACUUUCUGGUCUGUAACUGACGCUGAUGUGCGAAAGCGUGGGGAUCAAACAGGAUUAGAUACCCUGGUAGUCCACGCCGUAAACAAUGAGUGCUAAGUGUUAGGGGGUUUCCGCCCCUUAGUGCUGCAGCUAACGCAUUAAGCACUCCGCCUGGGGAGUACGACCGCAAGGUUGAAACUCAAAGGAAUUGACGGGGACCCGCACAAGCGGUGGAGCAUGUGGUUUAAUUCGAAGCAACGCGAAGAACCUUACCAAAUCUUGACAUCCUUUGACAACUCUAGAGAUAGAGCCUUCCCCUUCGGGGGACAAAGUGACAGGUGGUGCAUGGUUGUCGUCAGCUCGUGUCGUGAGAUGUUGGGUUAAGUCCCGCAACGAGCGCAACCCUUAAGCUUAGUUGCCAUCAUUAAGUUGGGCACUCUAAGUUGACUGCCGGUGACAAACCGGAGGAAGGUGGGGAUGACGUCAAAUCAUCAUGCCCCUUAUGAUUUGGGCUACACACGUGCUACAAUGGACAAUACAAAGGGCAGCGAAACCGCGAGGUCAAGCAAAUCCCAUAAAGUUGUUCUCAGUUCGGAUUGUAGUCUGCAACUCGACUACAUGAAGCUGGAAUCGCUAGUAAUCGUAGAUCAGCAUGCUACGGUGAAUACGUUCCCGGGUCU
Molecule: ribosomal RNA, 1334 nt
Filed under: uncultured bacterium
Lineage: Bacteria
Description: bacterial SSU rRNA
Rfam family: Bacterial small subunit ribosomal RNA
Source: RNAcentral